RNAcentral lists this ribosomal RNA (301 nucleotides) under uncultured bacterium. RNAcentral describes it as "partial 16S ribosomal RNA". It matches the Rfam family "Bacterial small subunit ribosomal RNA", at positions 509 to 809 of the family's 1533-position model. The record is from RNAcentral.
CAGUCGCCGCGGUAAUACGAAGGGCGCGAGCGUUACCCGGAUUUACUGGGCGUAAAGGGCGUGUAGGCGGCCUGGGGCGUCCCACGUGAAAGGCCUCGGCUCAACCGUGGAGGAGCGUGGGAUACGCUCAGGCUAGAGGGUGGGAGAGGGUGGUGGAAUUCCCGGAGUAGCGGUGAAAUGCGCAGAUACCGGGAGGAACGCCGAUGGCGAAGGCAGCCACCUGGUCCACUUCUGACGCUGAGGCGCGAAAGCGUGGGGAGCAAACCGGAUUAGAUACCCGUGUAGUCCCUGUCUCUUAUAA